GAGGGAUUAGUUAAAUUGAUAUUACUAGAUUGUCAAUCUAGAGUUGCUACUUAGGUAUUAGUGUAGCAUUCCUUA
This 75-nucleotide transfer RNA is filed under the name Dendropoma gregarium. RNAcentral describes it as "tRNA-Asp". It matches the Rfam family "tRNA". From Rfam's summary of the family: Transfer RNA (tRNA) molecules are approximately 80 nucleotides in length. Their secondary structure includes four short double-helical elements and three loops (D, anti-codon, and T loops). Further hydrogen bonds mediate the characteristic L-shaped molecular structure. tRNAs have two regions of fundamental functional importance: the anti-codon, which is responsible for specific mRNA codon recognition, and the 3' end, to which the tRNAs corresponding amino acid is attached (by aminoacyl-tRNA synthetases). tRNAs cope with the degeneracy of the genetic code in two manners: having more than one tRNA (with a specific anti-codon) for a particular amino acid; and 'wobble' base-pairing, i.e. permitting non-standard base-pairing at the 3rd anti-codon position. Lineage: Eukaryota; Metazoa; Mollusca; Gastropoda; Littorinimorpha; Vermetidae. The record is from RNAcentral.